Molecule: long non-coding RNA, 5168 nt
Organism: Taeniopygia guttata (zebra finch)
Lineage: Eukaryota; Metazoa; Chordata; Aves; Passeriformes; Estrildidae
Source: Ensembl
GAGCACUGAGUGCAAGGAGAAGUCAUGCAUGGUAUUUUAUAAGGCUGGAGUUCUGGUAUGCUAUAAAUAAUCAGGAGGUGUGGAGAAUCCAAGGGGAAAAUAGAGAUCUCAGGAAAAGCACAAGUGAAAAAUGUGGUCUCGCAAUUAUUCUUUUUUUCUAAGCUAUAAAUUUGGAGAUGCAGCCACAGCUCGUGGAAACCAGUGCUGGGGACAUUUUAUUUUAUGCAGCCAUUUAGGACCUUCCUUCCAUGGCAGCUUUCCAGGGUACCUGCUGCACACCUGGGCUCCUUCAUCCAGCAUGUUCCAUACAUGAGCCACGCAGGUAAUGCCAGCCCGUGCUGAGGAUUGUUUCUGACCUGCUCGACGGAAUAACAAGGAAUGCUCCGUGCCAAAUUAUUCACUCUCCACCGGCUAAAUCGCGCAUCCUCCUGCAAUCAGAUAACAAGCGCAGCCGCAGCUGGAAAACAAAGGUCCUGCAAUUCCGAGUGGAGAUGUGGAGAGCUGGGCAAGGAGUGGUGGAACAUCAGGCUCGCGGUGCUCCCAGCGCCUGUCAGCGCCGGGUGUGUGACAGCAGUAACGACACCGCCAGCAGCGCGGGCCCCGCCGUCUGUGCAGCUCCAGCCACAGGGACAUGCAGGAGGGAAAACGGAUGGCAUCCGCUGGAAUGGGCUGAGCCUCCCAAUCCAGCCGAGAGCAAGGCAGAAAACCAGAAAACUCUCUCGAUUAGAAUGUGGAUUUUGGAGCCCAGGGAAUUUCCUGCAACCACACAUUAAUAAAUAACCCGUCCGAAUUUGGGUUGGUUUAAGGUCACAGGGCUCCACGGAGGGCAGGGGCCAUCCCAGCACUGCGGUUUUUGCCUUGUCGGGGAGCACUGGGAUGGGAUGGAUUGUGUCUCGGAGCCAGGCCCCGUGCCAGCAGCGAGUGGCUUCCCUAACCCUGUCCUCGGAGCGUGGAAGGUGUCACCUGGGGCUGAGCACACGCUAGAGAAGCAUCAGUAAAAAGUACACUCCUCCUCCAGCAGGAAAGUUUCCUUUGCUGAAAAUCACAGCUCUCCCAUUUAAUUCUCAUGAAUAUUCAUCCGUGCGGGGAUCUCAUUCACAGGGAGACCGAGAAGAACUGGUGGGUGCUUAUGCAAAAACACAGACACUUGACACCAAAGAUGCUUGUUUAGUUGAUGUGAAAUCUCUCCAGUUUUCUUUCCCCAGUACAUACACGGGCUUGGUGGGAUGAAAUACAUUAUCCAGAGAAUCAUUCAUCAAAGACCUGGAACGACUCAGAGCGCAUGUGAUGGAUCAGGAAAAUGGCCACCUCGGCAGUGGCUUAAGGACAGCCAGAAAGACGUUUUGAGCAAAAAUCUUCCCGUGGAUUUGUGCUGGAAGCGGGGUUCAAUAGGGGUCUGUCUAUACCAUCGAGUGCCAAUCAAGCAGAGUCAUCUCUGCAAAUCUGUGGCACAAUCUCAGAGGGAGCCGUGGCACGGCAGGGGCUGGGCUGGGCAGGAUUAGUCAGGAGCUAGAAAGGGAUUAGGAAAACCUGACAUGAAAAUGCUUCACUUUGUGUGCAUUUUUAUAGUGUGAGACUAUAUACGGAGAGCUGUUAUCCCACGGGCUGCCAGGCAGGAGCAGGGAAAAACAAUGAAAUAUAUUUUGGGGGGAAAAAGGGACUUGGAAGGAGACAUCCUCCCAGUGUGGGAAGAGCGUUGCUGAAGAACCUCUCCUGACUUUUGGGGAGCUGGACAGGCGCCAUUUGCAGGCACUUCUGAGAAGCUUUCCCAGCCUUUCCUUGUUUUCUUUCCCGUUGUUUUGAGUUCAGCCGUCGUCAGAGGCAGCUCCCCGGUUUCUCCUGCAGCACCCCGGCCCCGCAGCCCUGGGCAGGAGCUGUGCCUCCAUCCCGCUCCCCGCAGGACCUGGGCAGGAGCUGUGCCUCCAUCCCGCUCCCCGCAGGACCUGGGCAGGAGCUGUGCCUCCAUCCCGCUCCCCGCAGGACCUGCUGCUGCCGCGGCUCUCCAGAAUUGCCUUUUGAGAAAUCAGGACAGAGAACAGGGGAAGUGAAGUGGGUCCUCAGUGACGUAAGUGUUGCAGAGCUCCGAAAUAAGCCGGGCUAGCUAAUGGCUUUGCUAAACACUGCAGUCGCUGGCGAUGAUCUCCGUGGCCAUUCCCUGUGAGAGAGGGCUGAGAUCUGCAGGCAAAUCCCGACAUUUUUGGAGCCGCGGUGGGCCGCACGCUCAGAGACGCGCUCGCAUCCCCGUUCCGCUCGACUGCAGCUUCGCCGUGAUGCGGCAGAUUGUUUGGAGGGAUCCAUGUCAGGAUAUUUUAGGGAAGCCAGCGCUAGCAUUGCUGUGAAUACAACAUCUCUGCGCGUCGCACAAAUCCCUGCCCUGCUCGGAAGGAGCCUGGAGCUCUCUGAGAGCUGCUGCAGGCGAGGACAGAGGGGCUGUGCUGGAGGCAGAUGGAGCCGCGCAGCUCUGCGGGGAUGGAGCCUGACUGUGCAGCAGCGCUCGCUCUUGUCCCAGCGACAUCCUGAGGGGUCCCAGCAGGACCCGGGUCCCGCAGGAUGCGUGGCACCCUUCCCUGGCACCGCGGGCAGCGCGCUGCUGACGGCGGGCACUCGCACCCGUGGGCGCCGGCGCCGCGUCUGCGUCCUGCCGAGCAGUUUGGAGAGAGCAGCAGAGUGACUUUGUUCGCAUCAGCCCACAAACUGCUUAAUUAGUUAAAAAUUUACUCCAGAUUAACUUGGCUUGAGCUGGCCAGUCUGCGGUUUCCGCUGCCCCCCGGAGAGGGGACGGGGCUGGGAUGGGGGAGCAGCGCCGGGAACACCACCCCGGCUGCAGGAUCCCCUCGGAUCCGCUCUGCAGGAGCUGCAGACUCUUUCAGCAAAGCCAAUUUCAGUCAACCUGGUUUCUCUAAAAUACAUCGACUUCAGUAGUGUUUUGUACAAAGGGAAGAAAAAAAAAAUCCUAAAUAUUUUCCUUGGGAUAAACUCCUGUGUUAGAGCCACGUCCCUUUCAUGCUGUUGCACAUGGGCUGGUAUUUAAGGCAGGGACUUAUUGUAUAACCCAGUGCCUGUGGGAUUAAAAAAAAAAAAAAAAAAACAGUCUCCAUGGAAAUGGAGGCCAUAUCUUUUGAAAACUGUAUCAGAGCUCUCUAUCCUCUCCCCUUUAUCAUUGUAUUUUAACCUACCAGCUGCAUAUUUAAGAGCAGAGCUUGCAAGAUGAUCUUACCCUUUUUUAUUAUUUUCCCUUAUGUGUUAAGGGAGGGAAUACUGACAGGGACAAGUGACAGCUCGCUAAUUAUUCCCUUACUGCCACUGCUGUUCUUGUUUUGGACGUGUUGCUCAUUUUCCUCUGCUCUUCGCACUGAAUAAUGCAUGGGUCCCUAUCAGUAUUCAUGCGGUACCUUCGGGAACUGCCAGCCUAACUAGCUGAUAACUGAUUCAGUUUGUAACCGGUGCCUUUGGGAGUUGCAAGGAAAAGUAGCCAAGAACAAAUUUAACACUUCUUUCUCAUUGCCUCAGAACAUCAAGGAGAGGUACAGGAGGGCUGCGCACCAAAUCCCUCCGUUGCCCGGAGCUGUGGGAGGUGCGGAGCCGCAGCUCCAGCGCUGGACGCGGCCGCGGGGUCAGCGGGAUGCGAUGGCAGCGCCGGGAGGGAGCGGGCCGGGCCGCCGCCAUCCCGAAGCAGUUGUUUGCAGCAGAUGCCCUCUCUAAGCUUCGCAAGGAGGUGCCAAGAAAAGCCACCCCAGAGCCAUCUGUACUCGGGAGCGGCAAACCGUGCGAGCCCGGUGCCGGUGCCGGGAGCGCUCCGGGCUAUCGGCUGCUAUCGGCGUGGCGGGGACCCCGCCGGGCUCAGAGCUCCAAGUGUCGCUGCCGGGACACCCCGCUGACCCCGAGCAACGCUGAGCAUGGUCCCUCACAGCAAGGUCUGUCCCGCUCCAAAGCAGCUUCCAGAGCCCCCUCCCAUCCCAGGGAGAACGCAAAGCGAAGGAGGAUGGGUAAAGCCAUAUCCUCUCUUUCCGUGUCUGCUAAAUACGAUUAUGAGAGGGAAGAAAGGGAGAAAGCCUGGCAUUUCCUGCGUGCCACGUUUGUUAGAGGUGCCUUGUUAUGCUGGCGCUGCUGGAAGCACAUUUCCUGCCCCAUAGGCUCACUCACUGCACGGAGCUGCUCUGCUGGAAGAGCUCUGCCCCCUCCACAGAAGGAUGAAAAACCGCUGUGAGCAGUUGGUUGAAUAUUCUUACUCGAGCUUUUCAUCUGACAUGUGUCAGAUGGUGUGACCUUACCCACCCGUAAUGGCAUGACCUCAAACGCCAUCUCCACGGCUUUGCUCCUCUCCAAGUGCAGAUAUAUAUAUUUAAAAUCCUGCCAUGGAGGAAGAGAUGCCUUGGGUUUGGGGUUGCGUCAAAGUUGUCAGACGUGUCUUCUGCAGGAGCUGAAAGCAGAUGGGGAGAUGACCUCGUAGGCGUCCAUCAUGCCUCAUGUGAGGGACAGAGCUUCCAGCAGGAAAAUUUUAAAGGUCUUUCUUGGAGCUUGCACUAGGAACUGUUUCCUUAGUUCAAACUCAUUGAACUUUGUUGAGGAAGUUGAGCUCUUCCCUCCAAUGAAGAUGAUCCAGAUGAGUGCCAGGCAGGAGGUGAGGUUUGUGCACAAGGGCCAAAGCUCUCGAAGCACAGCCAGACUUGGGAGCAAAUUCACCAAGACCCAGCAGAAGAGCCACAUCUGGGCUGUGCUCAGGCAGGACUGGGGUGUGGGGAUUCCUCACUGACCCCUGAGUGCCGUCAGCCUCUUUGGAGACAGGCUGGAGCUCUUGACUCAAACAAAACUGCUGUGUGUUUAAUUGAUCCUCUCCACUGUUCCCACUUCAAGCUUUUCUGCACUUCCUCCAAUUCCCUGCCCCCAGUGCCCGUUGACCAACUGGCCACAGCAAGAAAUCCUGGGUGAUCUGUCCCAUCAGCCCUUAAGGAAACAGGCAGGCCAGGUGGUCACUGACUUGUUAGGGAAUCAACCUCUUCCUCCUUCUGGGUUCUGCAAAACUUGGCAGCAGUUUGUAUUUAGAACUGCUAAAACCUGUGGCUAAUCAGGCAAAAUUAGUGACAUCAUUUAAAAGGUAAAACACUAAAUAAUGCUGAUCUCUUCAUCUCACUGCCUAUGAUUACAGCAAAAAAAAAAAAAAAAAAAAA